CUUAAGGUGGAUAAUCAUUGCAACCCAGUCUUUACUUUAAAGAAAUUUAUUGUACUGUAGCGAUUAUGACAUUGUUUUGCAGUGGUUAUUGUAAGGAUUGACAAUUAUUGGUGAAGAUUUCUAUAACAGAGGGACCCACAGACAUGCAAGUUAGAUUAACUUGGGCAUUCUUUCUGACGAUUGUUGCAAUAGGGCAUGGGCGCAGUGUUCAAGGAUUAAGCAUAACGAUCAAUUCCGGCAGAAACAUUACGUGCGGAGAAGACGUUUCCGUAGCCUGUCACAACGACGUCAAUGGAAUAGUUAUCCAGUUUGCCUACAAUCAUUCUGUUAAUUACGAAACAAUAGCAGAAUGCCAGUUUGAUGUUGACCCCCAACUAAUGGAUACAAGAUUUAAAGAAAGGUUCA
Long non-coding RNA from Dreissena polymorpha, 405 nucleotides. RefSeq lists it as uncharacterized. The transcript has 3 exons. Lineage: Eukaryota; Metazoa; Mollusca; Bivalvia; Myida; Dreissenidae. The record is from RefSeq and is a predicted model, not a curated record.